RNAcentral lists this ribosomal RNA (562 nucleotides) under uncultured bacterium. RNAcentral's name for it is "partial 16S ribosomal RNA". It matches the Rfam family "Bacterial small subunit ribosomal RNA", at positions 355 to 906 of the family's 1533-position model. The record is from RNAcentral.
UGGGGAAUUUUGGACAAUGGGCGAAAGCCUGAUCCAGCAAUGCCGCGUGUGUGAAGAAGGCCUUCGGGUUGUAAAGCACUUUUGUCCGGAAAGAAAUCCUUGGCUCUAAUACAGUCGGGGGAUGACGGUACCGGAAGAAUAAGCACCGGCUAACUACGUGCCAGCAGCCGCGGUAAUACGUAGGGUGCAAGCGUUAAUCGGAAUUACUGGGCGUAAAGCGUGCGCAGGCGGUUUGCUAAGACCGAUGUGAAAUCCCCGGGCUCAACCUGGGAACUGCAUUGGUGACUGGCAGGCUAGAGUAUGGCAGAGGGGGGUAAAUUCCACGUGUAGCAGUGAAAUGCGUAGAGAUGUGGAGGAAUACCGAUGGCGAAGGCAGCCCCCUGGGCCAAAUACUGACGCUCAUGCACGAAAAGCGUGGGGAGCAAAACAGGAUUAGAUACCCUGGUAGUCCACGCCCUAAAACGAUGUCAACUAGUUGUUGGGGAUUCAUUUCUUUAGUAACGUAGCUAACGCGUGAAGUUGACCGCCUGGGGAGUACGGUCGCAAGAUUAAAAACUCAAAU